This 263-nucleotide unclassified non-coding RNA is filed under the name uncultured fungus. RNAcentral's name for it is "partial contains 5.8S ribosomal RNA, internal transcribed spacer 2, and large subunit ribosomal RNA". The record is from RNAcentral. Lineage: Eukaryota; Fungi.
AACGCACAUUGCGCCCGCCAGCACUCUGGCGGGCAUGCCUGUCCGAGCGUCAUUUCAACCCUCGAGCCCCCCCGGGGGCUCGGCGUUGGGGAUCGGCUCCCUCUGCCGGCCCCUAAAUACAGUGGCGGUCCCGCCGCAGCCUCCCCCUGCGCAGUAGCUUUGCACAACUCGCACCGGGAGCGCGGCGCGGCCACGGCCGUGAAACACCCCAAACUUUCCGUAAGGUUGACCUCGGAUCAGGUAGGAAUACCCGCUGAACUUAA